Molecule: ribosomal RNA, 1067 nt
Filed under: uncultured Syntrophus sp.
Lineage: Bacteria; Pseudomonadati; Thermodesulfobacteriota; Syntrophia; Syntrophales; Syntrophaceae
Description: bacterial SSU rRNA
Rfam family: Bacterial small subunit ribosomal RNA
Source: RNAcentral
UCCUACGGGAGGCAGCAGUAGGGAAUAUUGCACAAUGGGGGAAACCCUGAUGCAGCAACGCCGCGUGAGUGAUGAAGGCCUUCGGGUCGUAAAGCUCUGUUGUAAGGGAAGAAUGUCCGUACGUCUAAUAAACGUGCGGAGUGACGGUACCUUAUAAGAAAGCACCGGCUAACUUCGUGCCAGCAGCCGCGGUAAGACGGGGGGUGCAAACGUUGUUCGGAAUCAUUGGGCGUAAAGCGUGUGCAGGUGGCUUGUAAAGUCAGAUGUGAAAGCCCCGAGCUUAACUCGGGAAGUGCAUUUGAAACUCACAAGCUUGAGUAUGGAAGAGGGUCGUGGAAUUCCAGGUGUAGUGGUGAAAUACGUAGAUAUCUGGAGGAACACCGGUGGCGAAGGCGGCGACCUGGUCCAAUACUGACACUCAUACACGAAAGCGUGGGGAUCAAACAGGAUUAGAUACCCUGGUAGUCCACGCUGUAAACGAUGGAUACUUGAUGUUGAAGGUAUUGACCCCUUCAGUGUCGGAGCUAACGCGUUAAGUAUCCCGCCUGGGGAGUACGGUCGCAAGAUUAAAACUCAAAGAAAUUGACGGGGGCCCGCACAAGCGGUGGAGCAUGUGGUUUAAUUCGAUGCAACGCGAAAAACCUUACCUGGGUUUGGCAUGCCCGGACAAUCCUAGGGAUAGGACUUUCCCGAAAGGGACCGGAGCACAGGUGCUGCAUGGCUGUCGUCAGCUCGUGUCGUGAGAUGUUGGGUUAAGUCCCGCAACGAGCGCAACCCUUGCUAUUAGUUGCCAGCAUUAAGUUGGGCACUCUAAUAGGACUGCCAUCGUUAAGAUGGAGGAAGGUGGGGAUGACGUCAAGUCCUCAUGGCCUUUAUAUCCAGGGCAACACACGUGCUACAAUGGUAGGUACAAACCGUCGCCAACUCGCAAGAGGGAGCUAACCGGAAAAAACCUAUCUAAGUUCAGAUUGGAGUCUGCAACUCGACUCCAUGAAGGUGGAAUCGCUAGUAAUCGCGGAUCAGAACGCCGCGGUGAAUACGUUCCCGGGCCUUGUACACACCGCCAU